Molecule: long non-coding RNA, 364 nt
Organism: Pipra filicauda (Wire-tailed manakin)
Lineage: Eukaryota; Metazoa; Chordata; Aves; Passeriformes; Pipridae
Exons: 4
Source: RefSeq, a predicted model, not a curated record
GGGGCGUGGGGAUGGGGGGCACGGGAGGCAGGCUGCUGCCGAUGACUCCAAGGGGUGAGCUGCAGGAGAGCUGGCAGGGCGGGCCCCCAUGGCCCCCAGAGAGGCAGAGGUGGUCUGUUGAUCACGAUAUCCCUGCUCACCAUCAGAACUUCUCCACACUCUGGAUCUGAGACAGCAACUACUUUCAUAAUGUUGUGAUCACACAGAAAAAAAUAUAUUAACCAUGGAAACCGGUGUUUAUGUUCUGCUACACCUUUGCACUUCCCAACAUAUGAACCUGUUGAAGAAGACAUGAUAAUGAAUAUGCUGGAGGUACAUGAAGCCUAUUAUUAUUCUACCCAAAUAAUAAAGAUAAUUAAAUUUA